GAUGAAGAACGUAGCGAAAUGCGAUAAGUAAUGUGAAUUGCAGAAUUCAGUGAAUCAUCGAAUCUUUGAACGCACAUUGCGCCCGCCAGUAUUCUGGCGGGCGUGCCUGUUCGAGCGUCAUUUCAACCAUCAAGCCCCCGGCUUGUGUUGGGGACCUGCGGCUGCCGCAGGCCCUGAAAUGCAGUGGCGGGCUCGCUGUCACUCCGAGCGUAGUAGUUACAUCUCGCUCUGGGCGUGCUGCGGGUUCCGGCCGUUAAAAGCCUUAUUUACCCAAGGUUGACCUCGGAUCAGGUAGGAAGACCCGCUGAACUUAAGCAUAUCAAUAAGCGGAGGA
This 334-nucleotide unclassified non-coding RNA is filed under the name soil metagenome. RNAcentral's name for it is "partial contains 5.8S ribosomal RNA, internal transcribed spacer 2, and large subunit ribosomal RNA". The stretch from base 1 to 120 matches the Rfam family "5.8S ribosomal RNA", at positions 35 to 154 of the family's 154-position model. The record is from RNAcentral.